UGGGGAAUAUUGCACAAUGGGCGCAAGCCUGAUGCAGCCAUGCCGCGUGUGUGAAGAAGGCCUUCGGGUUGUAAAGCACUUUCAGCGGGGAGGAAGGCGGUGAGGUUAAUAACCUCAUCGAUUGACGUUACCCGCAGAAGAAGCACCGGCUAACUCCGUGCCAGCAGCCGCGGUAAUACGGAGGGUGCAAGCGUUAAUCGGAAUUACUGGGCGUAAAGCGCACGCAGGCGGUCUGUCAAGUCGGAUGUGAAAUCCCCGGGCUCAACCUGGGAACUGCAUUCGAAACUGGCAGGCUAGAGUCUCGUAGAGGGGGGUAGAAUUCCAGGUGUAGCGGUGAAAUGCGUAGAGAUCUGGAGGAAUACCGGUGGCGAAGGCGGCCCCCUCGACGAAGACUGACGCUCAGGUGCGAAAGCGUGGGGAGCAAACAGG
Molecule: ribosomal RNA, 429 nt
Filed under: Chloroflexota bacterium
Lineage: Bacteria; Bacillati; Chloroflexota
Description: Chloroflexi bacterium partial 16S ribosomal RNA
Rfam family: Bacterial small subunit ribosomal RNA
Source: RNAcentral